UCCGGAUCUCAGAUCAAGCAAGAGGACCCGCCGAAU
RNAcentral lists this ribosomal RNA (36 nucleotides) under Cylindrotheca fusiformis. RNAcentral's name for it is "partial 28S ribosomal RNA". The record is from RNAcentral. Lineage: Eukaryota; Bacillariophyta; Bacillariophyceae; Bacillariales; Bacillariaceae.